Molecule: ribosomal RNA, 194 nt
Filed under: uncultured bacterium
Lineage: Bacteria
Description: partial 16S ribosomal RNA
Rfam family: Bacterial small subunit ribosomal RNA
Source: RNAcentral
CCUACGGGAGGCAGCAGUGAGGAAUAUUGAGCAAUGGGCGCAAGUCUGGUGGAGCAACGCCGCGUGAGCGAUGAAGGCCUUCGGGUCGUAAAGCUCUGUUGUUAGGGAAGAAUAAGUACCGGAGUAACUGCCGGUACCUUGACGGUACCUAACCAGAAAGCCACGGCUAACUACGUGCCAGCAGCCGCGGUAAU